CGUAGGGACCAAGCGUUGUUCGGAUUUACUGGGCGUAAAGGGCGCGUAGGCGGCAUGACAAGUCACUUGUGAAAUCUCCGGGCUUAACUCGGAACGGCCAAGUGAUACUGUCGCGCUAGAGUGCAGAAGGGGCAAUCGGAAUUCUUGGUGUAGCGGUGAAAUGCGUAGAUAUCAAGAGGAACACCUGAGGUGAAGACGGGUUGCUGGGCUGACACUGACGCUGAGGCGCGAAAGCUAGGGUAGCAAACGGGAUU
RNAcentral lists this ribosomal RNA (254 nucleotides) under uncultured bacterium. RNAcentral's name for it is "partial 16S ribosomal RNA". It matches the Rfam family "Bacterial small subunit ribosomal RNA", at positions 526 to 779 of the family's 1533-position model. The record is from RNAcentral.